Small nucleolar RNA from Rattus norvegicus (Norway rat), 121 nucleotides. Ensembl annotates it as small nucleolar RNA SNORA26. Lineage: Eukaryota; Metazoa; Chordata; Mammalia; Rodentia; Muridae. The record is from Ensembl.
GUUCCUUCAGCUAAACAUAAAGAAGAAAAGCAGGCUAACACAGAAGGGUAAAGGAACUCUCCAUAAAACCACAGAAGAGGCUUCACUCCUCCUCUUUGAAUCCUCUGUCUGAGUGACAGUU